AGCUCCAAUAGCGUAUAUUAAAGUUGUUGCAGUUAAAAAGCUCGUAGUUGGAUUUCUGGCUGGGUGAGCCGAACCUCAGUAUGAGUGUGCAGGUUCGCCCUACCAUCCUUCUGUUAAAUUUUAAGGCCUUCACGGUUUUUUUAUGGCUCAGAUAUUUUACCUUGAGAAAAUUAGAGUGUUUCAGGCAGGCUAGCGCCGGAAUACAUUAGCAUGGAAUAAUGGAAUAGGACUUUUGCCUCUUCUGUUGGUCUGAGGGGUUCGAGUAAUGAUUAAUAGGGAUAGUUGGGGGCAUUAGUACUUAACUGUCAGAGGUGAAAUUCUCGGAUUUGUUAAAGACUAACUUAUGCGAAAGCAUUUGCCAAGGAUGUUUUCA
This 373-nucleotide ribosomal RNA is filed under the name uncultured eukaryote. RNAcentral's name for it is "SSU rRNA". It matches the Rfam family "Eukaryotic small subunit ribosomal RNA", at positions 587 to 972 of the family's 1831-position model. The record is from RNAcentral.